Molecule: long non-coding RNA, 511 nt
Organism: Sarcophilus harrisii (Tasmanian devil)
Lineage: Eukaryota; Metazoa; Chordata; Mammalia; Dasyuromorphia; Dasyuridae
Exons: 4
Source: RefSeq, a predicted model, not a curated record
GGGUGGGGAAGGAGAUUAGGUAUUCCCAGAGACUGAGGUCAGGGACAUCAUUGGAAGCCUUGGGUCAUAAAGGUAUGGAUUCAAGAGAUAGAAUGUCCUUUGUGAGACACAGUCCUGAAAGUAGGAGGGGGAGCUAUGUAUAACCAUUCUAAAUAGAUUGGAGUCAGUUUGUAAAAGGCUUUAAAUGCCAAACAGAGGAAUUUGUAUUUUACCCCAGAGACAACAGGAAGCUUCCUAGGCUUUUUGAGCAAGGAAAUGAUUUGGUCAGGCCUGUACUGAUGUAUAAGUUAACCUUGAUAGUUUACCCAUCAAUGUUGAAUCUUGAAUUUUUCUUGUGUUAUCUUUCUUGUGCAGACCUAGUUCUGCUGCCAAGAGAGUUUCUCAGAUGUGAGUCUGGAGGGAAGGGGAGGGAAAGGGAGAAAGAAGAGAGGAGAGGAAGGAGUUUGAGGAGCCCAUAACAGAAACAGGGAGGAUCAGCUGCUGGAAUGGUUAACCUGGGGCCAUCUGAGCU